This 3296-nucleotide long non-coding RNA is filed under the name Marmota monax (woodchuck). Lineage: Eukaryota; Metazoa; Chordata; Mammalia; Rodentia; Sciuridae. The record is from RNAcentral.
CGUGGACGUGCCUUUCGGGAGGACGAUCUCUGGGGCUCAGCUCGCUCUCCGCCCCAAGGUGACGGGCGGCGGGAGAUGGGACACGGCGGGCCCCGGGGAACCGCCUGCGAGCCUCGGGGAGCCGUAGCGGCCACGCGCAUGCGCCUUGGCUAGAGGGCGGGUCCGGUCCAGGAGCGGUUGCCAACGAAACACGUUUGCGUCAUCUAACCGGCGGGUCUCCCGGGCUCCAGGGGUGAGAGGCGGUGCCUGGGUGCUGGACCAAUAGGAUUCCAGGGACCUGAAGGGCGUGGCUAACGCCCAAGUCUACCCAAUGAGACAGUCGUAGGCGGGCCGGGCCGGCAGGACCGGGAACUUCUUCAUGGGACUGCGAACAUCCCUCCGCGCCUCGCUGGCCCCGGCUUUUGGGCGGAGACGUUGGGCCCCUGGUUGUGGUCAACGGGUCUGGCGAGGUCAGCCUCUCCUAUGCCCGGCGGUAUGACUGACUCCGGGCCAGGACUUUGGCCUCCUGGGCCUGUUUCCCCAGGGGACCAGCUCCAGCAGCUCUGACCAGGUGGCCAGGAGACAUCCCUUUCAAGCACCCCUACCUUGCUGGAGGGGCAGGUGGUGAGGCUCUGAGCCACCAUUAGGGGUGCAGCAGCCAGGCAGUAGUGUCCCCCAGGACCACCCGGACAGCCCUCCUCUGCGCUCUUCUUGGCCCAUCAGCCAAAGUCAGACCCUGCGCGAGGACACGGUGAAGGGACUUCUGCGUACCCCUGGAGCAUGCUCGGGGUGGCUGUAGGGGAGUGGACAUGCUGAAGGCCCAGGGCUCAAGUCGAGCUGGUUCCUUUUGUCACCUGAAGCGACCAAUUCACAGGUUCCAGGGUGACCAUGUAGAUGUCUUUGGGAGCUGUGAUUCAGCUAACUGCAGGAUCCUUAAGACCCCACGUUCACCUCCCACUGGGACCCUCUUGAACCCCACUUCCUUCCCACUGGAGCACUGGGGGGGUCUCCUGUCUGCAGCCCACACCGGAGUCUGGCUCCUGCUGCUUGCCCCUACCCGCGCCCCCAUGUCGGACAUCCCUUGAGAGAGCUUUUAAAAGGUCCAUAUUCUUCCUGGGCAGGCGCCACGCCUGUCACCCAGCUGCUUGGGAGGCAGAGGCAAGAAUGUCAGGCUCAAGGUCAGCCUUGGCAACUUAGGGAAACCUUAACUACUAAGUGAGCUUCUGUCUCAAAACACAAAGGGCUGGGGAUGUGUUGGUGGUAAAGUGGCCCUGGGCUCAAUUCCCAGUUCCACUAAUAAAUAAAUAGUCUACAUUUCUCUUGGACUUUCAUUUUUUUCUGAUACACAUAUUUUUCAUUACAGAAAUACACAGAAGCAGUCUGAUGUCUGCACUCCUCUUCAGAUCACCACCGGAGAGCCAAGCCAGCCUCCCAUCCCAUGGGAUUAACAGACAUGCCAGAAAAUCGGGAGUUAAAAAGAGACUGGGUCUUCAAAGCUGUAUGAUGAAGAUAGCAUAGCUGGAGGCCGGAGGCCGGAGUCGGGGAGGCAGGCUGACCCUGAGACUCUGUGGUCAGCCGAGAGACCAAGAAGUCAGAACCAGAAAGACAGGGUCACCAAGCUACUGAGACAGCCAAUAGUCUGUCCUGCUCUGAAAAUACGACCAGGGCCUCUCCCUGCCAUAGCACAUGCCUAGAACGCCCGCUGCCAUGACAGGGUCACAUUGGCUGUGUCAGCUUACAAAAUCAGCCCCAAGGUGGGGAGUACAAUGCGACGCUAAGGCUCCGUGGUGUGUGCCAAGGUGUGGUGGAGCGCAGGGCAGCUGAGACUCCACCUCUACAGGACGUCAAGAGGAGGCCCCCAUGGCAGAUGCCGUAAAAGCUGUGCCCCUUUGUCCUUAGUUGGAGUCAGCCUGGAGCUUUUGUCCUCGUGGGCUUCCUCUUAGGAGCCAGCUUACAGCUGAGGGGCCUCAUUCCUGUCUUACUUGUGCUUCUGUGAAAUUCUGAUACAAAGAACCCCGGGAGGCCGCACGGGGAUCUGCCCCUGCCCCGCCUGGGCAGCUAGCCUCUGUCCCCACACAGCGUCUCCUCCGCUUGUGGUCCAGCCACCAGUCCCUCUCACCUGUCUCGCCCCUGGGCCCUCGAGGUCCUGCUCUUCACCUCACACCUCAUUUCCAAGAUGUCUGCACCUCGACAUCCAAUCCCUUGGCAUCUCUCUCCCUGAAAAGGCCUUUCCCAGGGGGAGCAUCUGGUCUUCACUCUGCUCUGAGUCCCCACGGCCCCAAGCCCCCCCGCAGGUCCUCAAAACUGCUCCCGGCCCUUUAUUUUUACGUGUCUGUCUUCUGCAGUGCUGGGAUGAACCCGGGGUCUCCCUCUGGUCCUUUAAGUCUCGGCGCCCCAGGCUGGUCCCUGCCACCCUUCCUUCUGCCCUGGUGGAGUCCGCCUGUCUCUAGGUUUGCAGGCCACACCUACAGCUGCCGUGGGAAACUGAGACAGCCCCGCCCAGGGCUAUGUGGGUGCAGGCCGCCGGGCGGGCGCUGGCUUCCUGUGGCUGUGACAAAUGGCCGGCCGGCUGCUCCAUCCUUCUGAUGGCCAGGCCAACCUCGCCCUACCCUCUCCACCACCCCAACAGCUGGAGCCCAGUUUGCCCACUCCCCCAAACCCCAGCAUUGUUUUUUUUUAAUAUUUAUUUAUUUUCAGGUGUAGAUGGACACAACACAAUGCCUUAUUUUUAUGUGGUGCUGAGGAUGUCACCCAGGUCCCUCCCGUGCUAGGCGAGCGCUCCACCGCUGAGCCACAGUCCCCGCCCCAUCCAGCAUUGGAUUUUGAGUGACAGGAUUCUGUCUCCCCUGCUUCUCAGGCUGCAGCUAGCAACAGUGAAUCUUCCCUUCCCUCCUCCCUGCUGGCCUUCCUUAUUUCCUUUAACUAUUUUUUUAGGGGAGGUACCAGGGAUCGAACUCAGGAGCACUCGACCACUGAGCCCCAUCCCCAGCCCUAUUUUGUAUUUUAUUUAGUGACAGGGUCUCACUGAGUUGCUUAGGGCCUCACUUUUGCUGAGGCUGGCUUUGAACUCAUGAUCCUCCUGCCUCAGCCUCCCAAGCCACUGGGAUUACUGGCAUGCACCACGGUGCCCAGCUCUUUAAACUAUUUUUUAAAAUAGGAAAGCUACACCUAUGUUUAUACACCUGUGUACAUAACAUCAUUAUUCACAAUUACCCAAAAGUGGAAGCCACAUAACUGUUCAUCAAUUAAUAAUUUAAAAGUGGUCCUUCCAUACAACGGAGUAUUAUUCAGCCAUGAAAAUGAGCAAGACAAGCUGG